This is a long non-coding RNA of Limulus polyphemus (Atlantic horseshoe crab), 421 nucleotides long. RefSeq lists it as uncharacterized. The transcript is spliced from 3 exons. The record is from RefSeq and is a predicted model, not a curated record. NCBI's taxonomy places the organism in Eukaryota, Metazoa, Arthropoda, Merostomata, Xiphosura, Limulidae.
UUAUAGCGUGGGUCAGAGACGCCAUUUAAGAGAAACGCGACGUAGAUGGGGCAUCGUAGAUUUCCACUUGUAGCAUAGCAACCAUAAAGAUCAACACUGUUUACUACCAACAAAGGUCGUACAGUAGCCCAAGUUAGAAAGUCGACUAAUAAUAUAACAAGAACAUUGGGAUGGACGAGGAGUCUGCACCGACAACCUUCAGCUGUGCUGAUUUGGAUCUGCAUUUGUCUCAAGAAUCGAUGAAACAGUUGUGGGAAGAACUGGAACAACUGUCUCCAAAUGGGUCUUUUACGGCAGUUGUUGACCAAAUCGCCAAGGGAAACGAGGACCCUGGAAAUGAAGCACUUGCUGAAAUGAAUAAAUUUAUUUUGGAACAUUACAGCUAUAUGCCACAAGUAGGAAAUACGGUAAGUUUUGUCUU